AUGCUGUCUAGUAUAAGCAUUAUACCGCGAAACUGCGAAUGGCUCAUUAUAUAAGUUAUCGUUUAUUUGAUAAUACUUUACUACUUGGAUAACCGUGGUAAUUCUAGAGCUAAUACAUGCUGAAAAUCCCGACUUCGGAAGGGAUGUAUUUAUUAGAUUAAAAACCAAUGCCCCUCGGGGCUCUCUGGUGAAUCAUGAUAACUAGUCGAAUCGACAGGCCUUGUGCCGGCGAUGGCUCAUUCAAAUUUCUUCCCUAUCAACUUUCGAUGUUUGGGUAUUGGCCAAACAUGGUGGCAACGGGUAACGGAGGGUUAGGGCUCGACCCCGGAGAAGGAGCCUGAGAAACGGCUACUACAUCCAAGGAAGGCAGCAGGCGCGCAAAUUACCCAAUCCCGACACGGGGAGGUAGUGACAAUAAAUACUGAUACAGGGCUCUUUUGGGUCUUGUAAUCGGAAUGAGUACAAUUUAAAUCCCUUAACGAGGAACAAUUGGAGGGCAAGUCUGGUGCCAGCAGCCGCGGUAAUUCCAGCUCCAAUAGCGUAUAUUAAAGUUGUUGUGGUUAAAAAGCUCGUAGUUGAACCUUGGGCCUGGCUGGCCGGUCCGCCUCACCGCGUGCACUGGUCCGGCCGGGCCUUUCCCUCUGCGGAACCCCAUGCCCUUCACUGGGUGUGGCGGGGAAACAGGACUUUUACUUUGAAAAAAUUAGAGUGCUCAAGGCAGGCCUAUGCUCGAAUACAUUAGCAUGGAAUAAUAGAAUAGGACGUGUGGUUCUAUUUUGUUGGUUUCUAGGACCGCCGUAAUGAUUAAUAGGGACAGUCGGGGGCAUCAGUAUUCAAUUGUCAGAGGUGAAAUUCUUGGAUUUAUUGAAGACUAACUACUGCGAAAGCAUUUGCCAAGGAUGUUUUCAUUAAUCAGGAACGAAAGUUAGGGGAUCGAAGACGAUCAGAUACCGUCGUAGUCUUAACCAUAAACUAUGCCGACUAGGGAUCGGACGAUGUUACAUUUUUGACGCGUUCGGCACCUUACGAGAAAUCAAAGUGCUUGGGCUCCAGGGGAGUAUGUUCGCAAGGUGAAUAG
RNAcentral lists this ribosomal RNA (1078 nucleotides) under Trichoderma reesei. RNAcentral's name for it is "SSU rRNA". It matches the Rfam family "Eukaryotic small subunit ribosomal RNA", at positions 51 to 1143 of the family's 1831-position model. The record is from RNAcentral. Lineage: Eukaryota; Fungi; Ascomycota; Sordariomycetes; Hypocreales; Hypocreaceae.